This 254-nucleotide ribosomal RNA is filed under the name uncultured bacterium. Its description in RNAcentral is "partial 16S ribosomal RNA". It matches the Rfam family "Bacterial small subunit ribosomal RNA", at positions 524 to 776 of the family's 1533-position model. The record is from RNAcentral.
UACGUAGGGUGCAAGCGUUGUCCGGAAUUAUUGGGCGUAAAGAGCUCGUGAGGCGGUCUGUCGCGUCGGCUGUGAAAUCCCGGAGCUCAACUCCGGGCCUGCAGUCGAUACGGGCAGACUGGAGUUCGGCAGGGGAGACUGGAAUUCCUGGUGUAGCGGUGAAAUGCGCAGAUAUCAGGAGGAACACCGGUGGCGAAGGCGGGUCUCUGGGCCGAUACUGACGCUGAGGAGCGAAAGCGUGGGGAGCGAACAGG